AGUCGAGGGGCAGCAUGGUCUUAGCUUGCUAAGGCCGAUGGCGACCGGCGCACGGGUGAGUAACGCGUAUCCAACCUGCCUUACACUCUUGGACAGCCUUCUGAAAGGGAGAUUAAUACAAGAUGUUAUCAUGAGUAAGCAUUUUCGCAUGAUUAAAGGUUUACCGGUGUAAGAUGGGGAUGCGUUCCAUUAGAUAGUAGGCGGGGUAACGGCCCACCUAGUCUUCGAUGGAUAGGGGUUCUGAGAGGAAGGUCCCCCACAUUGGAACUGAGACACGGUCCAAACUCCUACGGGAGGCAGCAGUGAGGAAUAUUGGUCAAUGGACGAGAGUCUGAACCAGCCAAGUAGCGUGAAGGAUGAAGGUUCUAUGGAUUGUAAACUUCUUUUAUACGGGAAUAAACGAAUCCACGUGUGGAUUUUUGCAUGUACCGUAUGAAUAAGGAUCGGCUAACUCCGUGCCAGCAGCCGCGGUAAUACGGAGGAUCCGAGCGUUAUCCGGAUUUAUUGGGUUUAAAGGGAGCGUAGAUGGGUUGUUAAGUCAGUUGUGAAAGUUUGCGGCUCAACCGUAAAAUUGCAAUUGAUACUGGCAGUCUUGAGUACAGUUGAGGUAGGCGGAAUUCGUGGUGUAGCGGUGAAAUGCUUAGAUAUCACGAAGAACUCCGAUUGCGAAGGCAGCUUACUAACCUGUAACUGACAUUGAUGCUCGAAAGUGUGGGUAUCAAACAGGAUUAGAUACCCUGGUAGUCCACACGGUAAACGAUGAAUACUCGCUGUAGGCGAUAUACAGUCUGCGGCCAAGCGAAAGCAUUAAGUAUUCCACCUGGGGAGUACGCCGGCAACGGUGAAACUCAAAGGAAUUGACGGGGGCCCGCACAAGCGGAGGAACAUGUGGUUUAAUUCGAUGAUACGCGAGGAACCUUACCCGGGCUUAAAUUGCAACCGAAUAUGGCGGAAACGCUAUAGCUAGCAAUAGCGGUUGUGAAGGUGCUGCAUGGUUGUCGUCAGCUCGUGCCGUGAGGUGUCGGCUUAAGUGCCAUAACGAGCGCAACCCUUGCCGAUAGUUACUAACAGGUCAUGCUGAGGACUCUGUCGGGACUGCCAUCGUAAGAUGUGAGGAAGGUGGGGAUGACGUCAAAUCAGCACGGCCCUUACGUCCGGGGCUACACACGUGUUACAAUGGGGGGUACAGAGGGCUGCUACCACGCAAGUGGAUGCCAAUCCCAAAAACCUCUCUCAGUUCGGAUUGAAGUCUGCAACCCGACUUCAUGAAGCUGGAUUCGCUAGUAAUCGCGCAUCAGCCACGGCGCGGUGAAUACGUUCCCGGGCCUUGUACACACCGCCCGUCAAGCCAUGGGAGCCGGGGGUACCUGAAGUGCGUAACCGCA
Molecule: ribosomal RNA, 1385 nt
Filed under: Bacteroides sp.
Lineage: Bacteria; Pseudomonadati; Bacteroidota; Bacteroidia; Bacteroidales; Bacteroidaceae
Description: bacterial SSU rRNA
Rfam family: Bacterial small subunit ribosomal RNA
Source: RNAcentral